Molecule: long non-coding RNA, 658 nt
Organism: Nerophis ophidion (straightnose pipefish)
Lineage: Eukaryota; Metazoa; Chordata; Actinopteri; Syngnathiformes; Syngnathidae
Exons: 3
Source: RefSeq, a predicted model, not a curated record
UCUCACUGUUUCCUGUUUGCUCUCUGUCUUUUGUGGCACCUUUACUCUCUGCUCCGUGUCUGCACACCUGUUCCUCGUUUAAUUAGUUGUAUUUAGUUCCACCUGAGUCCCUCCUUCACUGCUUCAUCAUUAUUCUUUUUUGACGGAUGUGGAUCGGACGGGUUUUAUUCGCACGCUACAACAGUACACAAGUCUUACACAAUGUGUUAUGGGUCACGUUCCUGCUUCUCCUCCUGCUGUGCGGACUGAGUGCAUGGCGGAGCACAUCAACAGGUGUUCCCUCUCCGCUGCGGGUGUGCCUCUGCAAGAGAUCUGCAAUCAACACACCUGCCGGUGAUGAGCAACCAGGCUUCAUAAGCCAGCGCGUCUUAAGAUCCGGUGCCAGAACGUAGUUUCUCCUACCAGUAAACUUCCUCUUCGUCUACCUGGACCCACUUUGGAUUCCCUCUUGCCUCCCUGGACCAAGACCUCGCUCCUGCCUUCUGACGUCCAAGCCUUUUUCUUCUUUUGGACUUCCACCUCUAUCUCAACACGCACACUCAACACCCUCUGGUGACCACGCUCAGAUAAUACUUACACAUAGUCACACUCCAUCUCUUUAAGGUAAUCACACACUGCACUCACAUACUGAGUUGUCAAUAAACACGCUGGCAGCUAA